Molecule: ribosomal RNA, 155 nt
Filed under: Ochrosporellus hymenonitens
Lineage: Eukaryota; Fungi; Basidiomycota; Agaricomycetes; Hymenochaetales; Hymenochaetaceae
Description: Inonotus hymenonitens 5.8S ribosomal RNA
Rfam family: 5.8S ribosomal RNA
About the family: 5.8S ribosomal RNA (5.8S rRNA) is a component of the large subunit of the eukaryotic ribosome. It is transcribed by RNA polymerase I as part of the 45S precursor that also contains 18S and 28S rRNA. Functionally, it is thought that 5.8S rRNA may be involved in ribosome translocation.
Source: RNAcentral
ACAACUUUCAACAACGGAUCUCUUGGCUCUCGCAUCGAUGAAGAACGCAGCGAAAUGCGAUAAGUAAUGUGAAUUGCAGAAUUCAGUGAAUCAUCGAAUCUUUGAACGCACCUUGCGCCCCUUGGUAUUCCGGGGGGCAUGCCUGUUUGAGUGUC